AUGCUCACUUCAGCAGCACAUAUACUAAAAUUGGAACCAUACAGAGAAGACUAGCAUGGCCCCCAAGCAAGGAUGACACUUUUAAUAAAUUUUU
Molecule: small nuclear RNA, 94 nt
Filed under: Microcebus murinus (gray mouse lemur)
Lineage: Eukaryota; Metazoa; Chordata; Mammalia; Primates; Cheirogaleidae
Source: RNAcentral